This 206-nucleotide small RNA is filed under the name Oryza sativa Japonica Group (Japanese rice). RNAcentral's name for it is "sRNA Os04g0561850". Lineage: Eukaryota; Viridiplantae; Streptophyta; Magnoliopsida; Poales; Poaceae. The record is from RNAcentral.
AUGUGCUCGUCUACGCAAAUGAAAAAACACCAUGGAUGCGGACAAUAGUCUACGAUGUGAAAUGUAUGCAUAUGAGCAGCCAGCCACCAGGUAUAGCGAAAUUUGCUAUUUAUUUCAAGUGGACCAACAAAUGCUUAUGAAUUAUGAAAUCAGUGUAUCUUUUCUAAUAAUAUAAGAAAGUCAAUAUAUUUAACCAAUUAUUUCAG